GACGAACGCUGGCGGCGUGCUUAACACAUGCAAGUCGAACGGUGAAGGCGGAGCUUGCUCUGCUGGAUCAGUGGCGAACGGGUGAGUAACACGUGAGCAAUCUGCCCCUGACUCUGGGAUAAGCGCUGGAAACGGCGUCUAAUACUGGAUACGAGCUGCGAAGGCAUCUUCAGCAGCUGGAAAGAACUUCGGUCAGGGAUGAGCUCGCGGCCUAUCAGCUUGUUGGUGAGGUAACGGCUCACCAAGGCGUCGACGGGUAGCCGGCCUGAGAGGGUGACCGGCCACACUGGGACUGAGACACGGCCCAGACUCCUACGGGAGGCAGCAGUGGGGAAUAUUGCACAAUGGGCGAAAGCCUGAUGCAGCAACGCCGCGUGAGGGACGACGGCCUUCGGGUUGUAAACCUCUUUUAGCAGGGAAGAAGCGAAAGUGACGGUACCUGCAGAAAAAGCGCCGGCUAACUACGUG
Molecule: ribosomal RNA, 468 nt
Filed under: uncultured bacterium
Lineage: Bacteria
Description: partial 16S ribosomal RNA
Rfam family: Bacterial small subunit ribosomal RNA
Source: RNAcentral